RNAcentral lists this ribosomal RNA (200 nucleotides) under uncultured bacterium. RNAcentral's name for it is "partial 16S ribosomal RNA". It matches the Rfam family "Bacterial small subunit ribosomal RNA", at positions 8 to 210 of the family's 1533-position model. The record is from RNAcentral.
AGAGUUUGAUCCUGGCUCAGGACGAACGCUGGCGGCGUGCUUAACACAUGCAAGUCGAGCGGAAAGGCCCUUCGGGGUACUCGAGCGGCGAACGGGUGAGUAACACGUGAGCAAUCUGCCCUUAGCUCUGGGAUAGCUCCGGGAAACCGGAAUUAAUACCGGAUAUGACCAUUUUAGACAUCUUUUGUGGUGGAAAGUUU